Molecule: ribosomal RNA, 253 nt
Filed under: uncultured bacterium
Lineage: Bacteria
Description: partial 16S ribosomal RNA
Rfam family: Bacterial small subunit ribosomal RNA
Source: RNAcentral
UACGUAGGGGGCAAGCGUUGUCCGGAUUUAUUGGGCGGAAAGAGCGUGUAGGCGGCUAGACAGGUCCGUUGUGAAAACUCGAGGCUCAACCUCGAGACGCCGAUGGAAACCGUCUGGCUAGAGUCCGGAAGAGGAGAGUGGAAUUCCUGGUGUAGCGGUGAAAUGCGCAGAUAUCAGGAAGAACACCCGUGGCUAAGGCGGCUCUCUAGUACGGUACUGACGCUGAGACGCGAAAGCGUGGGGAGCGAACAGG